This is a long non-coding RNA of Alosa sapidissima (American shad), 5882 nucleotides long. RefSeq lists it as uncharacterized. The record is from RefSeq and is a predicted model, not a curated record. The transcript is spliced from 2 exons. Lineage: Eukaryota; Metazoa; Chordata; Actinopteri; Clupeiformes; Clupeidae.
CACACACACACACACACCCAUAUAUACACAGGCACACAAAGACACACUCACACAUGCACACACACACACAUCUAAGCAUUGAUCCCUUUCCUUGAAUUUAGGCCCCUCUCAAUUACCCAUCAUUACCCACGGCCAUCAUUGCCCCUCACACCACGGAGGCUCUUCCCAGAGAGGGAAGCAGACUUCAGAGAAGCCCAGCUGGGACUGAGCUCCCCCACCACCACCACCACAACACACACAUACACUCACACCAGAGGCAGGUGGAGGGCUCUGAAUACCAGGCCUUGUGCUCUUCUUUCUCCCUCUCCCUCUGUCUCCCUUCUUCUUCUCCCCCCCCUCUCUCAUUCUCCCAGGGCCCCCCCCCUCUCUCUCCCUGUAAAAGCCACACAUAAUCAGGGGCUUUCUCUCUGCUCUCGGCUAAGAAAACAGGCUGAAUAAAAAUAAGCUGCAUCAUGGUGGCCGUAUACACGCAAUAAACCACAUGUGAAGCCUUCGCGCUGUUAGAUAACCAUUUUAAAGCAGUCCCAGACUGUGGGCUGGCCGUUGGAAUUUGACUGUGCUGGGCUACCACUUCUCUAAACCUGGGAGAGAGAGACACACACACACACAUGGAGGAGAACGUUGGUUUAACAUUCAGGCCCGAGUCCUGAAAGCCAAUUUAUCGUUAAAGGUGCAGUUCAUGAUAGUAGCAUUUCUGUCAAAUUCAGUGAAUUGUUUUUCAGAGUCCUCCAGCUAUCCUCUCUGAGUGUGUGCUCACGCACAGCCCUGGCUCUGUAAAUGGGAAACAAGCAAAGUGGUUCGCACUGAGCCAUGAACAAUCCCAGCCAAUCAACACAUUGCUUCAGGAGCACUGAAGAGAGGGCCUAUUUAAUUUUCAUCAGAAUUGUGAACUGCGCCAUUAAUCACGCCAGCUCUCCAUCCAUGUUGGAUGGGGUUCUUAUUCGUUUCACACUUAGCUGUGAUAAACUUUUUUUUUAGACGAUAAAUCACAAGUCACCCUACAAUGGCACCCCACUGUGCUUAAAAUCCACUGCUGGUCAGUGUGGAUCUCUCUCUCUCUCUCUCACACAUACAAAUCAUGUUCACACCUUGUAAGAGGAAUGAAGGGAAGUCCCCACUAGAGCCUUGUAUUCUUACCUAUUUCUCUGCAAACCCAGGAACAUACAACCCUCCAGAGGCAUCCUGUCCAGCUUGUCCCACUAUUCCCUAAAACGAAGCCGCUCUGCCUCACACACACAGCAUACCAUCCGUGGAAACACAGGACUAUACCCAAGGCAAGGUGGUGGUUUACCUGUCUGUUGAUAUCGACAUAAUUACACUCAUACGAUUACAGAUCAAUGGAAUUGCUUGUAGUAGCACACACACACACACAGGCACAGACUGACCGAUACCAACUCACACAUACACACAGUUUUUCCCUCCUUGUUUUCACUGUACCAAAACUACUUGAAUAAUGAACAUGAAAGAGACCAUUGAACACAGCUUGUUGUGUGUGUGUGUGUGUGUGUGUGUGACUGUAACGACACAGUCCUCCACUCUCAGUCAUUGGCCUAUAACUCAGCUUGCCCUACCUGUGAGAGGAACCCAUAGAGUUUGUUUCUGGUGUUGCUUAUUGUUUUUAUAUGUGUUUUUUUGAUUGAAUAUUAUUUUACAAAAAUAUUUCUGUUCUGUGUUCAGGUCAUUUGUAAUUAUGAUUUCUGCAUCCAUUAUAUUAUUAUAUUAAUAUUAUUGUAUUUCAGUCUUUUAUAAAAUGUGUUCUAGUUUAUCUCUUUCUUUGCUUUGUAUUUUGUCCUGCUUCGCCCAGACUGUUGGGGUGCAUUAUUCACUUCAUGCUACAGUAUGUUUUUCUUGCAUUAGAGGGGAGAGUGGUAGAGAGCCCCCCCCCCCAACAAUAUCCCCUUCACUGUGUGGCUGCACAGGAUGCAGGUCUUAGAACGGCCUUUCCUCGAAAUGCGCCGCCAUGGUGAUGGUGAAUUAACAGCAAAGUGAGGAAGUGGGAAGUUGGGGAGUAUUGGGGUGGGGUGGUGGAGGGGUUGAACUUGAAAAACAAAGGGAAAUUUCUUGGAGAGCACCCCCGAUAGUGACAAUGUUUAUUUGCUUCAUUUUUUAAAAUGUUGCAUUUCCAUAGAGACCACAGCAUUGUGAGUAGAUGGAGUAAGCACUUAUUAUAAUUAUCAUUAUUUUAUGUUUUGCUCCCACUGGUAGAGGUCUUAGUAAGAAGCUUGUUGAGUGUUUUUUUUUUGUUUUUUUUUGCCACACACAUACCUCUGGAAAGAAAGAAAACAUGAACAGGUAUACGAGAUGCUAAGAAACCUUAGAAAGGGUGCCCAAAUGCAGAUAUGAAUGGGUUAAUUGUGACGAAUGACUACAUUGUGUUACUGUGGUAAAAAUCAGUCUGGUAAUGGGUAUAAGCCAUAAGGCCUCCAUUCAAAUCUAGCCAGUCUCUCAAUACAAACAUAAAUGCCCUAACAGUUUCUAAUUCAUCUUAUUAGUUUAUCAGUUUUACAUUUCUGUCAUGUUAUUCAGUAAUGACAGUCAUUAUGAUCAAUUUGGUCUGGAAUGAUAAAUCAGGAACUUGAUCCCAACUGGUUUAAUCAUACAAGCCAACGGCAUUGAUUCCAGAGUAAAUUGGAAUAAUAUAGACAAGUAAAAUAUACCAUGGUAGAUUGCUUUGAACAAAACAUGUACAGUUUUCUAUGAGUGAUAUGUGUUUUUAAGUGUAUGUACAGAAUUGAAACACAUUGCUUAUGUGUAUUAGAUACGCAGGCAUAUUUUAAGUUUAAAUCUAUUUUUUUCUGCUUCUUGUGUGAUCUUGAUGUACUUAUGAUUCAUUUUGGUUCUAUUAGUUUUUAUUUUCUGUUUUACUUUGUUAUUGUUCUACAGUGCAGAACAAAUUUCAAUUGGGUUAGCAAUUUCUAAAACAAACAUGAUCGUCAUUAUAAGUGAAUGCCCAACCAUUCCAAAGGAUUGCAAUUGCUAUAAAUAUGCUGCUUGUAUCAAACCAAUGCAUCAAAGCUUCAUUUCUUGAUGUCAUGUAUUUAUUUCUUCCAUGUACUCUUUUUAACUGUGAUAUCUACUACAACACAUUGUGAGCAGUACAUUGGGUACUAUUUUCUGUUUCCUUUCACAUACAUUUUUUUCAUUCAACCUCUUUCUUUUUUCCUUCCUUUGUUGGCUUAAACAUACAGUUUCUAGUAUAGGCCUAUUUUCUUUUAGCUCUUAUCAGGCUGGUCCCUCAAUCAAAAUGGAUACUAGCCAUGUAAUGUUUCUGUAGACAGAAUCCCUGCUUACUUGGAAAAGGGAAUAUGAGUGACUUUCUUCCUGAUGACGUUCCAGUAGAUGUGCUUCAUUUGCAGCCAUUCAGCCGGUCUUCCCAAGCGAAGCUACGGAAAAGUCUAAAAUGGAUGUAUGUUUGAGAGGCGGAUGUGUGCACGGUUGAAACAGGGUGAAAGCUACGGAAGCACCGAAAAUUGAGUUUGGAAUUGUAGUCAGCACACAGUUACCAAGGGAGUGAUGGUGCCAAGACGUGCAACCCGAGGUGCCGAACUCACCGGCCUCUUUGGUUGAUGAAAAACGUCAUAGCCGGUUGACAGCAACUCGACUCAAGUUUUCGCUGUGUUCUUUGCGUCAGGAGAUACCAAAGGCUUCAGGAUUGGAUGAAUGUUCAUGUACAGUGCAUAACACUGGGUGGAAUACAAACACAAGCAGGACAUUUUACAGUCUCAAGAAAAGCACACUGACAGUUGCAUUUUAUACAUUUACAAAAUGUGAAAACAAACGAUUUUUCCCACCUCCUCAGUGAUUUGGCACGAUCAUUGGCAUUUAACAUAAAUGGACAAAGAAACUUUAUGACCAUGCAUGUCAGUGGGAACAAGGGAGACAUGCAGCACUGUACAAACAUAAUGGCAGCCAAUACAUAUAAUGAAAGAGCGUCUCAUUUCAUGUGCGAUAGUCCCCAGGAAUACAUAUCCUCAUGAAUAUUUGCGCGAGGCACGCCGUUUUUCCGGGCCGACAGAGAGUCAGCUGUGGUGUUCUCGUCACAGCCGGUGAACCCGCUGUGCGGCGUUGGCCCACACCACAGCCAGCACAUCCAUGAAUGGCUCUUUUUGAGUCGGGGCGGUCCGAAACGGGCCACAGCACCGCACCGUGUGUUUUUGAAGCGGUGUGGCGGUCUCUCCAAAGAGCCGGGAGAGCGCUUUGAAAUCGCUGUUGUGUGACAGACUGUGCAUGUAAAGAUGGAAGUCCCACUGCCUCUAUCUAUUAGCCCAUGACAAAUGACAAGCCUCUUUAAUAAAUGAUGUCGACUUUGUGCCAUCUUGGCAUAUGAACAUGUUUAUAGAUAUAUAAUGUUCGUAUGACAAACAGGCUUGGACCUGGCUGAUUUUGGUGAAUGCCUCAUGUGAAAGGAGAUAGUUGUCUGCUCUCUCCCCCUCUCUCUCUGUGGGUUUCCCAGAGCUCAUAAGAGUCUUUGGCUCUCGGCUCCGAUGGAAAAGACUACAGUGCAUCCGCCAGGUUUCCAUCUGUGCCUGAACUCUGUCAAAUCAGAGUCAGGCACACAAACACUCCUUCACACACACACCAAUGUCAUCAGGUCAUGACCCUGCUGGCCCCAGAUUACCCCUGGUGUCACACACACACACACACACACACACACACACACACACACACACACAGAGGCCUGGGGUGGAGGAGUAACCUUUAAGGCGGUCAAAGUAAUGUCUGUUAAUCCGUGGCAUCUGAACACACCUUGGUUUGCCACAAGAGUACAGACAGGUCUUCACACAGAUGAGUAUGUGUUUGUGUGUGUGUAGUCCUGCAUUAGCACUUAGACUUAGGCUCAGGGUCUGUACCAGGGCCUCCAUCCUACUCUUUCUCCUUCGCUCAGUCUCUCUUUCUCUCUCUCUCUCUCUCUCUCUCUCUCUUUUUCCCUCCCUAAAGCAUUGCAGGGACGGCCCUUGCAUGCUUGUCCCUGUUGUUAUUGUGGUCACUGUGUGUUUUUCUUUUUCAAACAGAUCACAGACACAAACCGCUCCGUACACGAACCUCGCAUUUUAAGGAGUUGAUGGCUCCCAUCUGGGCUCCCAUCUGUCUAACUUGAGCCAUAUUCGUUGGUGGCACUGUUCCCCUCAUUCCCCCCCAAAAACCUCUACUGCUCCAGCCUAUCAGCUACUCAUUUCAACAUUUCCGCACCGCUCCAGUAAUGCACAUCAUUUAGCAGUGUUUUUUUUUUCCUUCCCACUCUCCUGUGUUAUGAUAUGGACUGUAAUGUUGUAGAGAGUUUUUUUUUUUUUUUUUUUAAAGCGAAGCUCGUUAAAAAAAAAAAAAAAAAAAGCAGGCCCCUGGCCUCUGGCUGUGUCCCCUAGACCGCUUCCUCUUUCGUGACCUUUCACCUGCCUUCCUUGAUGAUGUAUGUAGUCUCUGUUUUGUACAUCACCAUGCGAUGCCUGUCCCAGUGACUUCAUGGUGCUGUUCUUCUCGUCUAAGCACCGCUGUUACGCGCUUUGUACAAUAACAAACUCUUACUCAACUAUGGCCAGUUCAUCUCUUUUCAUGACCUCAUCCAAAAACAAACAAAUAAGUAAAUAAAAAAAAACUGCCGUGUAUCAUAAUGUUAUUUUUUUGCAAUCAAACCAAAUCACUACAGUGAAGUAUUACAAUUGUACAGUUCCAUGACUUAUUCAGAUAUUAAUGUGCUGGUCAAUGGUUGCUCUGCUGUAUCUUUUUAUGACAUUAUUUUUUACAUGUUAGACAAUAUAUUGUGACCAUGUCCUAUGCAAAUAUGAAAAAUUAACAAAAUUGUUAAAUAAUGUAUGUUGUCUUAACUUGUAUGCAUGAAUAGUGAAGUUUACAUUUGAAAAUAAAUUCAUAAAUAAGCAACAUUA